RNAcentral lists this long non-coding RNA (5495 nucleotides) under Brassica rapa (field mustard). Its description in RNAcentral is "long non-coding RNA (BRAP_LNC001342)". Lineage: Eukaryota; Viridiplantae; Streptophyta; Magnoliopsida; Brassicales; Brassicaceae. The record is from RNAcentral.
UUAGGCUUUAGAGUUAAGGGGUAGAGAUUUGGGUUUGAGGUUUAAAAUUUUAUAUAAUAGAAAAUAAAUGUUAAAAAUUUAAAAAUAAAAAUUUUAAAAACAGUUUCAAAAAGUAUUUUCGAAUUACAAAAAUAAAAUUUUAAAAAAAAAUUUCAAAAAAACAUUAUAAUAAAAAAUUAUAAAAAAGUUUGAAUUUGAAAACAUAUAAUCUAAAACUAUAUAAAAAUUAUUUUUUAUUUUUUUUUAUAUCUAAAGUAUUAGUGUACUUUUACCUAUUAAAUUAAACGUUUUGGUUAUUUUCCUUUCUUGUGGUCUAUUUUUGUGACUAAAACUUGAAAAUUGUCUAUUUAUCAGAAUUUCCCAAUAAAGAAUUACCCAUAACUUUUUUUUUUUUUUUUUGCAGGGAAGCAGCCGAACUAAUUGAAGAGAUCGCCAAGAAUGUCUUUGAGAAGCUCAAUCCAACGGAAAAUAUUGGGAUACACACGCAGUUACGAGUGCUAGAAAACUUGCUAUGCAAGCAACCAUGGGGCUUUCGUUCUAUAGGCAUUUUAGGCAAGCCUGGGAUAGGCAAAACGACGUUUGCUGAAGCAGCCCUUCGAAGAAUGCGCGAUGGCUAUGAUGUUCCUCGCUUUAUCAGAGAAUGCAAUAACAAGAUCACUGAGCAUUUUUCUGAUGAAGACUUUCAAGAGAUCUCAGUGGAAAAGUUUGACCUAAACAAUCAAGAUGCCGGGCCAUGCCAUCGUCAAAAAAGACUUCUCUAUUAUCUCUCAAGGUCGCAGGUAACAAGAACUCAAGAACACGUUUAAUAAGUAUCAACUUCUUAUUAAUCAAUCAAAGGAUAAAAUUCACUCAAAACCUUUCAAUCACAAUCACUCAGAACUCACAGCUUUAACCACAACUCGGUAAUAGCUUAUAUAGAACUUUAGGAAACUCCUAAUCCUAUAAGACAUAACAAAACACAUAUCCUAAUCACUUUAGGAAACCAAAUCUUUAUGUGAUUAGGUAGCUUGCAUCUUAAGCUACUUCAAGCUUAUCCCAACAUUCUCCCCCUUAAGCUUGAAGUUAUCUUCACUCACCAUUAGAACACCAAUCAUCUUCCUCAUUUCAACAAACUUGAUUCUUCCAAGAGACUUCGUUAGUAUAUCCGCUCGUUGUUCACUACCCGGAACAUGCUCGACUUCUACUUGAUUAUUCUCAACACAUUCUCUAAUAAAAUGGAACCUUCUAUGAAUGUGCUUGCUUCUUCCAUGAAACACUGGAUUCCUAGAAAGAGCAAUUGCAGAUUUGUUAUCGACUUUUAUAACAACUUUCUUGCUUGGUUGGCCAAUGACUUCUCCCAAAAGCUCCUGAAGCCAUAUCCCUUGCUUGGCUGCUUCUGUAGCCGCCAUAAACUCGGCCUCACAGGAAGACAACGCUACGAUCUCUUGUUUACAUGAACACCACGUUAUAGGACUCUUAUUUAAGUAGAACACAUGUCCCGUAGUGCUUUUGCCAUCAUCAUCAUCAACAUUGUGUGAACUGUCACUGAAACCCAAUAGCUCCAAACCCGCAGACUGUGUAAAUGCAAGACCGAACUCAAUAGUACCUCGUAGAUAACGCAUUACCUGUUUCAGAGCAGCACCAUGCAAGACCUUAGGAUCCUGCAUGUAUCGGCUCAAUACUCCUACGCUGAAAGACAGGUCCGGACGCGUGUGGAGCAAGUAUCGAAGACAACCAAUGCUUCUUCUGUAAUCUCUCGCAUUUACACUUUUCUCCUCAACUGAUUUUGAUAGCUUAACAUUAAAAUCCAUAGGUAUAGCUGUCGAGUUGCAGGCGUCCAUACCGCAAUCUUCAAGUAUCUUUCGGGAGUAUCUAUCCUGUUUCAAAGUAAUACCUUCUUUGCUUUGACAUACUUCAAUUCCUAGAUAAUACGUCAGCUUCCCGAGAUCACUCAUCUCAAAUUUCGUUGCCAUCUCCUUUUUAAAACGAUUAAUAGAUUGCACUGAUGUUCCUGUGACCAAAAGGUCGUCAACAUAUACCACAACAACAAGCGUUUCAUUCUUUUCUUCCUUUCGGUACAACGAUGGUUCUUUUGAACACCUAUGGAACUUGAGUUCCCUUAAGAUCUUGUUGAGUUUGGUAUUCCAAGCCCUAGGUGCUUGUUUCAACCCAUAGAGUGCCUUUCUCAAUUUGUAGACUUUAUCCUCUUUUCCCGCAACUUCAAAUCCCUCAGGUUGAACCACAAAUACUUCUUCUUUUAGUUCACCAUGUAGGAAUGCAGUUUUAACAUCAAGAUGAUGUAUUUCCCAUCCCUUUGCAGCAGCAACGGCAAUAACCAAACGGAUAGUCUCCAUACGAGCUACAGGCGCGAAAACCUCGUCAUAAUCAACUCCUUGCUUCUGCACAUAGCCCUUUGCAACCAACCGAGCUUUAUAUUUUAUAAUAGUUCCAUCAGCGUUCCUCUUGAUUUUAAACACCCAUUUCAAACCUAUGGGUUUAACUCCCACAGGAAGAUCAACAAGCUCCCAUGUAUUAUUUUUUUCAAUACUAAAGAUCUCAUCUGCACAAGCAUCAAUCCAUACUUUCAACUCCUUAGCUUCAGUGAAGUCCCAAGGUUCAUCAUUCACAAUCGUUAGAAGACGCUCACACUCUGCUUCGGCUAUAAGAACAUAGUCGCCGAGAUAACCAGGUAAUGUACUAAUCCUCGAUGAUCUCCUCAGCUGUGGUUGUUCUUCUUGAUCAUUACUAUUGUUAUCGUCAUCAUCGUCAUCAUCUUCUUCGUCUAUAUUAUCAGUUUGGACAUUACUCUCUGUCUCAUCCUCUGUUUGAGUCACGUCACCAAUUUUCUUGAACUUAACCGUGAAGCUUCCUCCAUCGACAUUGUCCUCACCAGACUCGUUAUUAGACCAGUUCCAUCCUUUACUCUCAUCAAAGAUAACAUCACGGCUGACUACUAUUUUCUUCUUAGUAGGAUCAAGUAAACGAUAGGCUUUAGAGCCUGGUUCUGUUCCAAGAUGGACGAGAACCUUAGACCUAUCAUCAAGCUUUUUCCUUCCCACCAUAGUAGUCUUGGCGUAACACACACAUCCGAACACUCUAAGGUGUGCAACAUUAGGUAUUUUAUUUCUCAAAGCUUCGUAUGGGGUCUUGCCGUCUAGAGUCUUUGUUGCGACUCUAUUGAUCAAAUAAGUAGAGUGUCGAACAGCUUCGCCCCAUAAUAUAUUAGGUACCCUCAUGUGCUUCAGUAUGCUCCUAGUCAUCUCUAGAAGGGUUCUGUUACGUCUCUCUACAACCCCAUUCUGUUGAGGAGAAUAUGGAGCAGUUAAGUGCCUAUUAAUACCAUUCUCAUCGCAAUAGGCACGGAACUCCUUGGAGCAAAAUUCUCCUCCUCUAUCUGAUCGAAACGUCUUUAGCACGGCUUUUGUAUCACUUUCAGCUAGUUUCUUAAAGGUUUUAAACUUUUCAAAAGCUUCGCUUUUCUCCUGUAACAACAUGGUCCACAUAUAACGAGUACAGUCAUCGAUUAAUACAAACACAUAUCUUUUUCCAGCUGGGGUUGGCGGUGUGAUAGGCCCGCAGAGAUCGCCAUGAACAAGCUCCAGAGGAUGAGUAGCUCGAUAUGUAGUUGCUUGAGGAAAAGAUUUCCUUGCUUGCUUUCCAAGGAGACAGGACAUACAUGUUUCCUUCUCAAUGGUUAAUGUAGGUAUGCCAGUUACUCGUUCCUUAUUGAUCAUUGCCUUCAUAGUAUCACCAUUAAUGUGUCCAAGUCGUGCAUGCCAUCUUGAGGUCUCAGAAGUAUGGCUAGAGAUCUGCAGACAGUCUUGAGUUUCUACCUCAAGAAUAACCUUGUAUAACCUGUUUCUGGAUCGACUUGAUUUCAUCAUGAGCUUUCCAUAUCGAUCAUACAGCAUAAGCGCGUCUCCUCUCAUACUAACUUCACAGCCGGCUUCGGUGGCUUGACCCAAGCUGACUAUGUUACUCUUCAAUCCCGGAAUGUAGUACACAUUACUCAAGACCUUUUUCUCUCCUCCUUUAAACACGAAUUGAAUAGAUCCUUUCCCCUUUAUAUCAAUACGAGAAUCAUCUCCAAAUCUUACUUUUCCCGUGAUUGUUUCAUCAAGUGUGACAAAGAAUAUUCUGUUACCGCUCAUGUGGUUGCUUGCUCCAUUAUCAAGGUACCAGACGUUCUUCGUAUCAAGAUUGGUAUCAAAUAUAUUUGGGUUGACAUUCUUCUCAUUCAGAUAGACCACUUCAUGCAUCAUUAGUUCAUCAGCCUCUUGUGUUUCCUCAGUCUUGGUUUCAACUGUUUCUUGGAGCUUAAGGGUUUUAUCAGGACAAUCUGACGCAUAAUGUCCUUGCUUGUCGCAGUUAAAACAUGUGAUGUGUGAUAGAUCACGUCCUUGCCCUUGCCUGUACGCAUCUCGCUGGCUGUGAAAGUUCCCAGUUCUUCCACGACCUCUUCCUCUCCAUCCAGAGCGUCCUCCUCGUCCUCUUCCUCUGGCUCCUCCAGAGUUAGUGUAACUAUUUUGAUGUUGAUCGGAGUUUGCCCACAUCAGUUUUUCUUGUUCUUCUGGAUGUUCAUCAUCUUCUUCACAGAUUCUUUCUUCAUACGCCUUCAGUCUUCCAACAAUAUCUUCAAAGCUUGUUGUGUUUAAAUCAAGAACUUGCUCAAGAGAGGCGACAAUAUGAAUAUAUCUCUUUCUAGGUAAGCUUUUCAGAAACUUCUUUACCAAUUUUGGUUCUUCUAUUAUCUCCCCUAAUGAUGCAGACUUAGAUGAGAUUUCUGAUAAUUUCCCAACAAACGUAUCAAUUUUAUCUUCGUCUUUCAUCUUCAGUCUAUCGAACUCGGCCAUUAACGUUUGUAAUCUAGCUUCUUUUACUCUCUCAGCUCCAACAUGCCUAGUUUUUAUUGCAUCCCAUACCGCUUUUGCUGUGUCUAAAUCGCCAACUUGCAAGAUCAUAGCUUCGGGUAUGGACUGAAACAGAAACGCGAUAGCCAUAUUGUUUUUCCCUUCAUCCUUGUUUCCAGGUUCGAUUGUUUCCCAAACCUUACUGACUUUCAGUGCUAUCUUCAUUCUCAUGGCCCAGACGGUGUAGUUGGAAGUGGUUAGCAUUGGGAAUUUGAUGGAGGAGGGUCCGGUCUUUAUGUCACCCAUGGGCUCGGUCUUCACGUCGUCACUCAUGGCGGUAAGCAAACGGAUUCACAGAACUUAAUGUAAGGCUCUGAUACCAAAUAUUAUCUCUCAAGGUCGCAGGUAACAAGAACUCAAGAACACGUUUAAUAAGUAUCAACUUCUUAUUAAUCAAUCAAAGGAUAAAAUUCACUCAAAACCUUUCAAUCACAAUCACUCAGAACUCACAGCUUUAACCACAACUCGGUAAUAGCUUAUAUAGAACUUUAGGAAACUCCUAAUCCUAUAAGACAUAACAAAACACAUAUCCUAAUCACUUUAGGAAACCAAAUCUUUAUGUGAUUAGGUAGCUUGCAUCUUAAGCUACUUCAAGCUUAUCCCAAC